CGUCACUUCCGGCCAAGUUGGAGCGCGAAAAAGAUUCCUGGUCAUUGGAGCUUCAGUCCCCGUCUGAAUGGGAUUUGUUUAUGGUCUGCUGUUUUCCUCUUCUCUUAGGAAAUCUCGACUUUCUAUACUUGGAAAUACAUACAUAUCAAAUGACUGAAGAAAAAUGGAGAGCUUUUCUUAUACGGGAUUGAGCUGCACGUGCAGGCCUACACCACAACCACAGCAACACCAGAUCUGAGCCAUGUCUAUGACCUACACCACAGCUCAUGGCAACACCAGAUUCUUAACCUACUGAGCAAGGCAAGGGAUCAAACCCACAUUUUCAUAGAGACAACGUCCGGUCCUUAAUAUGCUGAGCCACAAUGCAACCCCAAGGUUUUUGAUUUUGUUUUGUUUUUAGACAAUGACUUGUUCUGUGCUCACUCUGUUCCAGUCAGGGACCAGCCAAAAGCUUAAUAUAUUUCAUUAUUUCAUCCUUACAACAACCCCAUGAGCUAAGGGUGGAUACUUCUAUUAUCCCCAUUUUUAGCAGAGGGCGAGGGUCUCCUGCCUAUCCCAUGGUUGGUAAGUAGGGGGCCCAGGGAUUCCAAAAAGCUUUUUGUGGGGAUUAAGUGAAUUGAUAUUUUUAAUGUACUUAUCACUGCCUGGCCCAUAGAAAAUAUUAUCUAAAUGUUAGCAGUUAUUGUAAUGAUUUUAGAAGAUCCUCUCCCAGUUCUUUCUCUCCUACUGACAGAGCUAGAGUUUUCACCUCUUUCUACCCCUACUUUGAACAAACCUGAGAAGACCUGUGUUCACUCCUUUCCUAGCAGGGCCAACAGAUUCUGGUGAAGUAAAGCUUCUCUAGUCAACAUGAUUUAUAAGGAAUAAGAAGAGAGAGAAAGCAGCUUCUCAGAAUAUGGAGGGGGUUGGUGACUCCAGUAGGGUGAAAAGUGGACUGUAGGAAUUAUUGGUGAGAAGGGAGAGAGCACAGAAAAUCAGAGCCCUGUGCUUGGCCUCCAGAAGCCUCAGUUAGCAAAGAGGGCCCCCCCCUUCCAAUUACAGCCAUCCCUUGGUAUCCCCCAGGGAUUGGUUCCAGGAUCCCUAUGGGUACCAAGGUCCACAGAUGCUCAAGUUCCUCACAUAAAAUGGCAUUGUAUUUGCAUAUAACCUAUGCAUGUGCUCCCAUAUACUUUAAAUCAUC
Molecule: non-coding RNA, 1180 nt
Organism: Sus scrofa (pig)
Lineage: Eukaryota; Metazoa; Chordata; Mammalia; Artiodactyla; Suidae
Source: RefSeq, a predicted model, not a curated record